This 2317-nucleotide ribosomal RNA is filed under the name Escherichia coli. Its description in RNAcentral is "bacterial LSU rRNA". It matches the Rfam family "Bacterial large subunit ribosomal RNA", at positions 524 to 2826 of the family's 2925-position model. The record is from RNAcentral. Lineage: Bacteria; Pseudomonadati; Pseudomonadota; Gammaproteobacteria; Enterobacterales; Enterobacteriaceae.
CCCCGGCGAGGGGAGUGAAAAAGAACCUGAAACCGUGUACGUACAAGCAGUGGGAGCCUCUUUAUGGGGUGACUGCGUACCUUUUGUAUAAUGGGUCAGCGACUUAUAUUCUGUAGCAAGGUUAACCGAAUAGGGGAGCCGAAGGGAAACCGAGUCUUAACUGGGCGUUAAGUUGCAGGGUAUAGACCCGAAACCCGGUGAUCUAGCCAUGGGCAGGUUGAAGGUUGGGUAACACUAACUGGAGGACCGAACCGACUAAUGUUGAAAAAUUAGCGGAUGACUUGUGGCUGGGGGUGAAAGGCCAAUCAAACCGGGAGAUAGCUGGUUCUCCCCGAAAGCUAUUUAGGUAGCGCCUCGUGAAUUCAUCUCCGGGGGUAGAGCACUGUUUCGGCAAGGGGGUCAUCCCGACUUACCAACCCGAUGCAAACUGCGAAUACCGGAGAAUGUUAUCACGGGAGACACACGGCGGGUGCUAACGUCCGUCGUGAAGAGGGAAACAACCCAGACCGCCAGCUAAGGUCCCAAAGUCAUGGUUAAGUGGGAAACGAUGUGGGAAGGCCCAGACAGCCAGGAUGUUGGCUUAGAAGCAGCCAUCAUUUAAAGAAAGCGUAAUAGCUCACUGGUCGAGUCGGCCUGCGCGGAAGAUGUAACGGGGCUAAACCAUGCACCGAAGCUGCGGCAGCGACACUAUGUGUUGUUGGGUAGGGGAGCGUUCUGUAAGCCUGUGAAGGUGGCCUGUGAGGGUUGCUGGAGGUAUCAGAAGUGCGAAUGCUGACAUAAGUAACGAUAAAGCGGGUGAAAAGCCCGCUCGCCGGAAGACCAAGGGUUCCUGUCCAACGUUAAUCGGGGCAGGGUGAGUCGACCCCUAAGGCGAGGCCGAAAGGCGUAGUCGAUGGGAAACAGGUUAAUAUUCCUGUACUUGGUGUUACUGCGAAGGGGGGACGGAGAAGGCUAUGUUGGCCGGGCGACGGUUGUCCCGGUUUAAGCGUGUAGGCUGGUUUUCCAGGCAAAUCCGGAAAACCAAGGCUGAGGCGUGAUGACGAGGCACUACGGUGCUGAAGCGACAAAUGCCCUGCUUCCAGGAAAAGCCUCUAAGCAUCAGGUAACAUCAAAUCGUACCCCAAACCGACACAGGUGGUCAGGUAGAGAAUACCAAGGCGCUUGAGAGAACUCGGGUGAAGGAACUAGGCAAAAUGGUGCCGUAACUUCGGGAGAAGGCACGCUGAUAUGUAGGUGAAGCGACUUGCUCGUGGAGCUGAAAUCAGUCGAAGAUACCAGCUGGCUGCAACUGUUUAUUAAAAACACAGCACUGUGCAAACACGAAAGUGGACGUAUACGGUGUGACGCCUGCCCGGUGCCGGAAGGUUAAUUGAUGGGGUUAGCGGUAACGCGAAGCUCUUGAUCGAAGCCCCGGUAAACGGCGGCCGUAACUAUAACGGUCCUAAGGUAGCGAAAUUCCUUGUCGGGUAAGUUCCGACCUGCACGAAUGGCGUAAUGAUGGCCAGGCUGUCUCCACCCGAGACUCAGUGAAAUUGAACUCGCUGUGAAGAUGCAGUGUACCCGCGGCAAGACGGAAAGACCCCGUGAACCUUUACUAUAGCUUGACACUGAACAUUGAGCCUUGAUGUGUAGGAUAGGUGGGAGGCUUUGAAGUGUGGACGCCAGUCUGCAUGGAGCCGACCUUGAAAUACCACCCUUUAAUGUUUGAUGUUCUAACGUUGGCCCGUAAUCCGGGUUGCGGACAGUGUCUGGUGGGUAGUUUGACUGGGGCGGUCUCCUCCUAAAGAGUAACGGAGGAGCACGAAGGUUGGCUAAUCCUGGUCGGACAUCAGGAGGUUAGUGCAAUGGCAUAAGCCAGCUUGACUGCGAGCGUGACGGCGCGAGCAGGUGCGAAAGCAGGUCAUAGUGAUCCGGUGGUUCUGAAUGGAAGGGCCAUCGCUCAACGGAUAAAAGGUACUCCGGGGAUAACAGGCUGAUACCGCCCAAGAGUUCAUAUCGACGGCGGUGUUUGGCACCUCGAUGUCGGCUCAUCACAUCCUGGGGCUGAAGUAGGUCCCAAGGGUAUGGCUGUUCGCCAUUUAAAGUGGUACGCGAGCUGGGUUUAGAACGUCGUGAGACAGUUCGGUCCCUAUCUGCCGUGGGCGCUGGAGAACUGAGGGGGGCUGCUCCUAGUACGAGAGGACCGGAGUGGACGCAUCACUGGUGUUCGGGUUGUCAUGCCAAUGGCACUGCCCGGUAGCUAAAUGCGGAAGAGAUAAGUGCUGAAAGCAUCUAAGCACGAAACUUGCCCCGAGAUGAGUUCUCCCUGACUCCUUGA